CGCCUGAUGCAAGUGUAACAAAAAAAAAUCCGUCUAUUGCUCAAAUAACUAAAAUAGAACAUAAAUUGCUAGCUAUGAUUGAAAUAGCAUCUCAAACCUGCAACUUAAUGUCAGAAAUCGAUGCUAGUAGUGAAGACCUAUUGGCUAUACUAGCGAAGGAUUAUGUUGGCCUGACCGAGGAAAUUAGAUCAGGGCUGCGUCCUUACAUAGAUCAGCUGGCCGAAAUACCGCAUACUCAAAACUCCAAUUUACCUGCCUUCACCAGAAAGGAGGCUGAGCUUGCAUCGGCCAAAACGGAUCUGAUAUUGCAACAACUAAAAGAGAUAUAUAUUGAAAAGUGAUAUUUUAAUUAUUUAUCUACAAAUUCAUUUUGUCUAGAUAUACAAUACUAU
Schistocerca gregaria is the source of this 392-nucleotide long non-coding RNA. RefSeq lists it as uncharacterized. Lineage: Eukaryota; Metazoa; Arthropoda; Insecta; Orthoptera; Acrididae. The transcript has 3 exons. The record is from RefSeq and is a predicted model, not a curated record.